GACGAACGCUGGCGGCGUGCCUAAUACAUGCAAGUAGAACGCACAGUUUAUACCGUAGCUUGCUACACCAUAGACUGUGAGUUACGAACGGGUGAGUAACGCGUAGGUAACCUGCCUGGUAGCGGGGGAUAACUAUUGGAAACGAUAGCUAAUACCGCAUAAUAUUGAUUAUUGCAUGAUAAUUAAUUGAAAGGUGCAAUUGCACCACUACCAGAUGGACCUGCGUUGUAUUAGCUAGUAGGUGAGGUAACGGCUCACCUAGGCGACGAUACAUAGCCGACCUGAGAGGGUGAUCGGCCACACUGGGACUGAGACACGGCCCAGACUCCUACGGGAGGCAGCAGUAGGGAAUCUUCGGCAAUGGACGAAAGUCUGACCGAGCAACGCCGCGUGAGUGAAGAAGGUUUUCGGAUCGUAAAGCUCUGUUGUAAGAGAAGAACGGGUGUGAGAGUGGAAAGUUCACACUGUGACGGUAUCUACCAGAAAGGGACGGCUAACUACGUG
RNAcentral lists this ribosomal RNA (504 nucleotides) under uncultured bacterium. RNAcentral's name for it is "partial 16S ribosomal RNA". It matches the Rfam family "Bacterial small subunit ribosomal RNA", at positions 28 to 507 of the family's 1533-position model. The record is from RNAcentral.